UGGUGGAGCGAUUUGUCUGGUCAAUUCCGAUAACGAACGAGACUCUAGCCUACUAAAUAGUUCGGGGACCCCCACAAAGGGGCCCCGCUUCAACUUCUUAGAGGGACAGGUGGCGUUUAGGCACGCGAGAUUGAGCAAUAACA
RNAcentral lists this ribosomal RNA (143 nucleotides) under uncultured eukaryote. RNAcentral's name for it is "partial 18S ribosomal RNA". It matches the Rfam family "Eukaryotic small subunit ribosomal RNA", at positions 1299 to 1458 of the family's 1831-position model. The record is from RNAcentral.